GCAUCUUCUUUCUCUUGCUGCAAUUUCAGGAAGUGAAACAAAUCAAACCCAUUACGCGUCGCGCAAAGGGCGAACGCUUGCGAGAGCCACGUCCUCGUUUUUACUGUGUCGAAGUAAAGAAAAAUAAAGCCAUUGGGAGCGGAAAAGCACAUCGAGCCCCACACCCCACCUCCCUUUCCUCCCCACGCACGCGACCUUUCCUUCGUAGGCACGCCUCAUCCCUCUCGUCUCGUCUCCCCUCUCUAUAUCGCACUCAACCUCUCCCCUCCCGCAAAAUUUACUCGAUCCGGCGAUGCGCCCGCGCCACUGCCGGCGUGCUCCUUUUUGGUCCUCCCCUUCCACCGGAUCGGCCGAUGAGCGGAUUUGCUAGAGGCGGUCGACCAGUGGAGGUGAGGAGGUUAUCCCCGAUGCCCACAUUCCCGAUGCUCGUCUUUUCCUCUCCCAAGUGGCUGCUAGGGUUGCCCCCGCCAUCGCCGCCCCCAUCCCACCUCCUCCGGCGCUGCCCAUCUCCCUUGAGUAGUGCGGUCUGGCGCUCAGCUACGAGGGCAAGGAUCCCCAGCCGCACCAUCCACGUCCUUGCCGUUGUGAUCGCCGCGUCGGGAAGGCAGCACGAACACGCGAUUAGAGGAUCCAGGAGGUUGGUACAUGAGGACGUGGGAAACCAAUGAGGAAGAUGACUGGCGAGAAGGCUGGUUGUGUUUUUUUUCUAGAAGUAAGGCUGGUUGUGGUCAUGGUCCGCCCCCUUCCCAGGCCAAAUGUUGAAUAUCUGGAGCAGAUAAAUUCUUGUUUGGUUCUGGUGCAUCUGAUUUUACCCUUUGCUUUUUCGCUUCAGGUGCAUUCUAGAGGAAGAGGAUGAAGCUGUAUAAAAGACUGCCGAAUUCUUCCUGUUCUAGCAGGUAAAAACUGAACCUGUAUGUUUUGAAAUUUGGGACACAUUUUAAAAACUGGACCUUUACUGUUUGUUCAAAGGAAAUUUACUCUUGCAGAUAUAUACUCUCAUGAUUCGUUGAUAAUAUGUACUGCAGAUUCAUCAUGUACUAAAAAAAAAAUCCUUUGUGAUGCAUCAUAUGAUUUAGUUAUCUUUUACACCUCCUCUUUGGACUUGUUCAUUGUCAACAGCUUUACACAUGGAUCUCAUAUAUCUCAUUUGUAAGGUAAUAGUUCAAAGGUUAAAUGUCUAUGUUUUUUAGCCUGUCUAUCUAAUGGGCACUUAAACUGUAGUUUUUUUUAAUCCUGAUUCGGUUGAGAUACUUUAAAAAUUGAGUGUUAUUCACCUGCCGAUGUGUGAUUCAAUGUAGGGGUAAAGCAACAACGGAGAAAUUUUGAAUUUCACAUAUUGAUCAGUUUAUUUCAAGAGCGCAGGUCAUUUUUCUGUAUGCUGGAUGAAUAGCUCCCUUCUUCAGUAUGUACUUCUAUUGGAAGGACCGAAGAGAAAAUUCAGUGUUUAUACUACUCCGUUUCCAGAAUAGUUAUGCUCUUUCUGCGAAAUCAAACGAGUCAGUGAUACAAAAAUAGUGUUGUUUUUUCUCCUUUUGUUAAUGAUUUGUUCUAACUAUAACGUUAGCAUGAAUUGUAAUGGUGAAAUUAUCCCUACUGCAGAAUAAGUUGGCAUGAAGCAAUCUGUUCCCAAAAUAAUGUAUACAUGUAUUAAUGCCAAUCUCAUGUUUUCCUUCUUUUGCUGAGCUCUAUAUGAACAGUUCUCUAUGUGUAAGUGGUCCAUAUGGAUUUUUAGUAUAUCAUGCUAUGUACAAGUAGUUCUAUAUAUUCAGGUUAGGUAUGAUGGAUAGUGUCAGAUUACUGGGCAUUUAUGUAUAAUUAAAAUUAUAUUAUGAUGCAUUUAUGUAUCCUUAAAGUUCUAUUAUGUUGUUGUGUUAUAUACGAAAAUUGCUGCGUCGAGUUCAGGUAUGGCUCUUUGUGCUACAUCCUCUCUUCUACCUCUGCCUCUGUCAAGCACCACAGAUCCAAUAAGUUGACCUCCUCCCUCUAUUCUUUUAACGUUCUCUAUUUCGACAUAACCAAAUCUUUAAUAGUAAACUGAACUAUGGUCAUUUGGUGUAUCUUGUUUAUAUUAUGACCAAGUGCUGAAAUAGAAAGUGAUGAAAUUGAAGGCCUUUGUCUUUGUUCCAUGGCUCUCAAGUCUGCCACUCCAUCUACUAUGGGAUCACACCAAUUGCUAGAUCUAAUAUGUCAUCUGCUCCUGUACUAAUUAGUAUCUCACGGGCCUUCAGGUUCUGAUGCAAUUUAGAAAAUCCCUCUUUAAGCAAAAGUCUGGUUGACAAUAUAAAACUGUAGCUCUGAAUUUAGUAAUCACUUACCCUCACAAGCAUGUUGAUAAAUUAGCAAGAUGACUAGCUACCUAGCAUAUAUUACUUUUCCUUUUUUUAGAAACUCUAAGUUGUUGGUUCUAAUGUCUUACUGAUUAGAAGCAAUAAUAAAGAUUACCUAUGGUGACAUGACUUGAUAUUCUGAUUGACUUGUUGCCUUCUCUUACAAGUAAACAUGUGUAGCUACUUCGUUCCCUAAUUUUACUGAUGCAUUUUAUUCUGGUAUGUAUCUCAUUUUCGAAGUGGUACAUGUGUUGUAUUAGAAAACACUCUAUAUUGAUUACCUUUUUCCCUUUCUACUCCUUAACCUCAGUUCUCCCUGGUAUCUCUUUUGAGCUCUGACGUAGCAACAAGACAAUCUAGCUAGGUUACUCUGCACAUACCUUCCCUGUGAUGUCACAUUUGCUGUACCCUUGGCUCUUGUUCUUAUUUUGUAGGUAGUCACAUUGCUGUCAUAUUUGUCCUAUAUGAAAACGAAUGCGAUAUAGGACAACCUUGGACGUGGGGAAAAGGGGAGGCAAAGGGCAGUAAAAUCUCAACCAAGGGCGAUGUCCGCAGCUAUGGCAUUGUUCUUCUGGAAAUGCCAGAAAUGACCUACCCAUGAAUAAUUCGAUGAUGGAUUUAUGCUUCGCAAGUAUGUAGAGGCAUCUCUUUCAUGGACUGAAGACAUUCUUCACCUCAACCUUAUUUCAGAAAUAUGAGAUCAACAGGUCGAUCUUAUCCUCAAACUUGCAAGAAUACAAGAAAUUUAUGCUGAAUGAUAUAUGUGCUCUUGGACUCUUUAAAUUUGGCAUUUCAUGCUUUUGUAGAAUCACCAAAAGAAAUACACAUGUAUGAAACUGCUAUGCUUGCCCUGCUUUAUCAA
Long non-coding RNA from Triticum aestivum (bread wheat), 3189 nucleotides. RefSeq lists it as uncharacterized. The transcript is spliced from 2 exons. The record is from RefSeq and is a predicted model, not a curated record. NCBI's taxonomy places the organism in Eukaryota, Viridiplantae, Streptophyta, Magnoliopsida, Poales, Poaceae.